CCUACGGGAGGCAGCAGUAGGGAAUUUUCGUCAAUGGGCGCAAGCCUGAACGAGCAAUGCCGCGUGAACGAGGAAGGUCUUCGGAUCGUAAAGUUCUGUUGAAGGGGAAAAAGAGCGGAGAGAGGAAAUGGUCUCCGAUUGAUAUUACCCUUCGAGGAAGUCACGGCUAACUACGUGCCAGCAGCCGCGGUAAUACGUAGGUGGCGAGCGUUAUCCGGAAUGAUUGGGCGUAAAGGGUGCGUAGGCGGCCUGCUAAGUCUGGAGUGAAAGGUACCGGCUCAACCGGUACAGGCUCUGGAAACUGGCGGGCUAGAGAGCAGGAGAGGGCGGUGGAACUCCAUGUGUAGCGGUAAAAUGCGUAGAUAUAUGGAAGAACUCCGAUUGCGAAGGCAGCUUACUAAACUGCCACUGACAUUGAUGCUCGAAAGCAUGGGUAGCGAACAGGAUUAGAUACCCGUGUAGUC
RNAcentral lists this ribosomal RNA (464 nucleotides) under uncultured bacterium. RNAcentral describes it as "partial 16S ribosomal RNA". It matches the Rfam family "Bacterial small subunit ribosomal RNA", at positions 338 to 795 of the family's 1533-position model. The record is from RNAcentral.